AGUGUAGGUGGCAAUUUAAGUGAAAUGUGAAAGACCAAGGCUUAACUUUGGAACUGCAAUUCAUACUGGAUAGCUAGAGUGCAGGAGGGGUAUGUGGAACUCCUAGUGUAGCGGUGGAAUGCGUAGAUAUUAGGAAGAACACCAGAGGCGAAGGCGACAUACUGGACUGUAACUGACACUGAGACUCGAAAGCGUGGGGAUCAAACA
RNAcentral lists this ribosomal RNA (207 nucleotides) under uncultured bacterium. Its description in RNAcentral is "partial 16S ribosomal RNA". It matches the Rfam family "Bacterial small subunit ribosomal RNA", at positions 568 to 774 of the family's 1533-position model. The record is from RNAcentral.